CGAAUUUAAGUGACCCUCAAAAGCAGACAGCACAAAAAUUCUUGAAAUGGAAGCUUAUCCACGUGGCACAUGCGCUUAGAACCCUAAAUAAUUACAAAUUUGGCUUUAGAGAAAUUUCGUUUCCCAAAUCCCCAUCACCAAUGUUUAACAGAAUUGAAUAUUCUCAAUACCUGAUUUUUCUAUCACUUCUGCCCCUUUUAAAUAAAUCAAGUCUUCUUUCUAACGCCUUUGUUCAAAAUUCGAUUCUUUGAAUAAAAGAAAUAGGAAGAGAAAAAUAAAAGGUUCUUGAAACUUUUUGAGAAUCUUGUUUGAUCGAAGUAUUUUGUUUUAUCUUCUUUGAAGAUUGGAAUUUUGAUCGGUUAUAAGAAGAGAUGUGGGUUGGUUUUGAUGUUCUGUGCGCUUCGAGCAUCUGCUUUCUGUAUUGUUAUUCCGACAGUAAGAUGUAAAUAUGUGUAUAUGUUCUUCUGUUUUAAUUGGUAUUUAAUUAUGUUUGCUUUAAUGGAUUAUUUAAUUUGAUUCAAUCUAUUUAAGCACGAAAGUUUCUUAAUUUGUAGAAUCUUGAAUUUUUUGGGGUCUUGGGAGUUUUGGAUUGUGAUUUUGAUGAUCACUAGGUAGUAUGAUAUAAGUUGAAUUCAGAAAUGGAUCAUAACUCAUAAGACAGUUAAUAAGAAUUCGAAAUUUUGAAGUCUGGUAUUGAGUUUAAAGUUUCCAUUUCUCAAUUCUUUUUUGAGAUUUGUUAAGUUGUAUGAUUGAUGGAAAAAUAAGUCCUUCCAGUAUAUGAAUGGCAUGCAGCUGUACUACAGAAGAUGGACAAGAUUGUAACUUUUUUCUGCUUCUUGUUUAUUCUGUCUAGUAUUGACUUGUCCCCUUACUGAACAUAUCACUAAUGGCUAACACAAGUGAAUUUUCUGUAUUUUGAGGUGUAGUUAUUUGCAAUUCUGACUAUAGUGCACUGAUUGUAAGAAACUUUAUGGCAAGCUUGUAAAUAUGACUCCAUAUUAUAAUUUUUAAUUAUCUGUCUUAUGGUUUUGAAGAUUUGUGGGAGGGCUGAAACGGUAUGAGGAAUGAGAAUCGUAUUAAAGAAAGGAGGAGGGAUCGGAUUAGUAUUAAGUUGGGAAAGAUAAUGCAGUGUCUAUGCUCAGGGGAACAGUUACUUGGAGAAGAAAUGGUCCCUUCUUCUGAAUCUCUCGCAACAAAGGAUUAUACACACAGUGUUUAUUCAUCUCAAGCCGAAGAAGCUGAACGGAAACCUGACACUGGCAAUAUUGAAGAAGCUGAAUCAUCAUUACGAGAAAGUGGUUCUUUAAAUUAUGAGGUUGGCUAAGAAUUGGAAACAAAUAGACGCAAAGCUAUACAUUGUAAUCAAUGUCCUCAACCCUAAUCAAUUUUUUUUUAUUUUUUUGUUGGAUGGCCUAAACCAUAAUCUUGAUCUAACCUUUUAUUAAUAAAUCCAUAUUAUUACCUUGGGAAACAAAAAUUAAAGAAUUUGAUUAAGGGGAAUUUGCACUUUUUCGUCCUCAAUCUUCCCAAAUGUAACUAAUAAUUCAUUUUUAACCUUUCAAUUAUAUAGCAAAACUCAUCAUUCCCUCUUGUUUGACCAUUAAAUGGCGGAUUUGUCAUUCUCCUUAAAUAAAUAAAUAUAAAAGAGAGCAAUAAAACGACAAAAAUAAGGAAAAAUUGCAAAUGGAAUCACAUAACAUGUCAAAAAGUAAAAAUAAAUCCCACUUCAAUCAAUCACAUAAUAACACAUAAAACAAAAAGAAUUUAGAAAUUUUCUCCUUCCCUGAACAAAAUCAUCCACCCACCCUAUCCUACCCUACCCACCUAAUCCAUAAGCAUCUUUUCAUUUUUGAAUAAGUCAUUCUCAUUAUCUUUCAUAAUCAAGUAGGCACUCCUCCCCACGCCCAGCCAAACAAAACCUCUAGACGGCAAUUCUUACUAAUCAAAUGUGUUGGCGCUAAAAAAUAACACCAAUAGAUGCGAGGCCCAUUCGCAUCCACGCGGGAAAAUUUCGAUGCGUUUUGAUUGUUGAUUUGAUCGAACAGUGUAAUGGAUGCAGGAGAUGCUCCUUCGACGCGAGAUUAAAUAGUUCAGGCAUCGACAAAGUGAUCGAAAGGCUUGCGAACGAGCAAUGAUAAUCUCGCUCAAGCACGAUCACAACUUUUGCAAAUAAAUGAUAAAAGAGAGUAAAAAGGGACACGAUCAAAUGGCAAGAAAUGUAUGAAGUUGUAUUUAUUUUCCCCUCCAAAAUCUGCUAAAAAUUAGUAUACUCGUUCCUUGUUCUUUUUCUCAUUUUCCCCCCCCCCCCCCCCCCCCCCCUCUUUUUUUCUUUUACUGGGAAAGGGAAAAGGUGCUGGGUAACGAGGGUAAAAACUAUCUGCGAGAUUGAUGAAUUGGCAAAUUAUGAAUGGUUUUUUGAUUUAUGAUUUUAUCAUCUUUGCAGAAGCUGCUCAAUCGUGCGCAGUUAUCCUGGAUAUUGUUGAGUCUUCAUUGCCAGCAGGCUUGCCUGAAAACAUUGGUGGUGACUGUAAAUUGCAGGAAACAAUAAACAAGGCUGUAGAGCUGCUUCCAGGAUUAUGGAAACUUGCUGAUCAUCCUAGUGAAGCUAUUUUGUCUUACCGUCGGGCCCUUCUACAUCAAUGGAACCUUGAUGCACAAAUUACGGCUAAGAUACAAAAAGAGUUUGCCAUUUUUCUUCUCUAUAGUGGAGUUGAAGCAAAUCCCCCAAGUCUGCAAUCCCAAAUGGACAGUUCUUUUGUACCUAAAAACAAUACUGAGGAAGCUACUCUUCUUUUGAUAAUUCUUUUAAGGAAAGUUACCCUCAAGAGAAUUGAGUGGGAUCCAUCAAUUUUGGAUCACCUUUGCUAUGCAUUAUCUAUAUCAGGUGGAUUAAGGGCUNGUUUUGAAGAUUUGUGGGAGGGCUGAAACGGUAUGAGGAAUGAGAAUCGUAUUAAAGAAAGGAGGAGGGAUCGGAUUAGUAUUGAGUUGGGAAAGAUAAUGCAGUGUCUAUGCUCAGGGGAACAGUUACUUGGAGAAGAAAUGGUCCCUUCUUCUGAAUCUCUCGCAACAAAGGAUUAUACACACAGUGUUUAUUCAUCUCAAGCCGAAGAAGCUGAACGGAAACCUGACACUGGCAAUAUUGAAGAAGCUGAAUCAUCAUUACGAGAAAGUGGUUCUUUAAAUUAUGAGGUUGUCUCUCUAAUUCUUCUUAUGCUGAAAUCCUUUUGAUGUUUCUUUUAUCCGUAUCUUUGGUUGAAUUUUCACUCAUUUCAAUUUGAUUUUGCUUUACUUUCUCAUCCAUAUAUCGAAUGCUGUUUUUUUACUAAUCUUUCUAUCAUCAGAGUUAAAAUACGAGUAUCUUGGCUAGCUGAGUCUUUGAGUAAGAGCAUGUUUUGCUGUGCUUAAAAUUUCUCUAGAAAUUAAGUUAAAGAUUUUCUAGGAAAGUAAGUGUUGUCUGUAAAAAUCAUGCUUGUCAAAUAAGUAAUUUAAAAGUAAGUUUGACUUACUUUUAAGCAUUAGCAAAUAUGCCCCAAGAAUUGGUGCUUCGACGAAAUGGCAGCUUGUUUAUUUAC
This 3572-nucleotide long non-coding RNA is filed under the name Olea europaea (common olive). Its description in RNAcentral is "long non-coding RNA (OEUR_LNC001434)". The record is from RNAcentral. Lineage: Eukaryota; Viridiplantae; Streptophyta; Magnoliopsida; Lamiales; Oleaceae.